Molecule: non-coding RNA, 29 nt
Filed under: Rattus norvegicus (Norway rat)
Lineage: Eukaryota; Metazoa; Chordata; Mammalia; Rodentia; Muridae
Source: RNAcentral
UUACAUAGGCUAUGUAAGGAAACUCAAUA